RNAcentral lists this ribosomal RNA (828 nucleotides) under uncultured Staphylococcus sp. RNAcentral describes it as "bacterial SSU rRNA". It matches the Rfam family "Bacterial small subunit ribosomal RNA", at positions 69 to 879 of the family's 1533-position model. Lineage: Bacteria; Bacillati; Bacillota; Bacilli; Caryophanales; Staphylococcaceae. The record is from RNAcentral.
ACGGACGAGAAGCUUGCUUCUCUGAUGUUAGCGGCGGACGGGUGAGUAACACGUGGAUAACCUACCUAUAAGACUGGGAUAACUUCGGGAAACCGGAGCUAAUACCGGAUAAUAUUUUGAACCGCAUGGUUCAAAAGUGAAAGACGGUCUUGCUGUCACUUAUAGAUGGAUCCGCGCUGCAUUAGCUAGUUGGUAAGGUAACGGCUUACCAAGGCAACGAUGCAUAGCCGACCUGAGAGGGUGAUCGGCCACACUGGAACUGAGACACGGUCCAGACUCCUACGGGAGGCAGCAGUAGGGAAUCUUCCGCAAUGGGCGAAAGCCUGACGGAGCAACGCCGCGUGAGUGAUGAAGGUCUUCGGAUCGUAAAACUCUGUUAUUAGGGAAGAACAUAUGUGUAAGUAACUGUGCACAUCUUGACGGUACCUAAUCAGAAAGCCACGGCUAACUACGUGCCAGCAGCCGCGGUAAUACGUAGGUGGCAAGCGUUAUCCGGAAUUAUUGGGCGUAAAGCGCGCGUAGGCGGUUUUUUAAGUCUGAUGUGAAAGCCCACGGCUCAACCGUGGAGGGUCAUUGGAAACUGGAAAACUUGAGUGCAGAAGAGGAAAGUGGAAUUCCAUGUGUAGCGGUGAAAUGCGCAGAGAUAUGGAGGAACACCAGUGGCGAAGGCGACUUUCUGGUCUGUAACUGACGCUGAUGUGCGAAAGCGUGGGGAUCAAACAGGAUUAGAUACCCUGGUAGUCCACGCCGUAAACGAUGAGUGCUAAGUGUUAGGGGGUUUCCGCCCCUUAGUGCUGCAGCUAACGCAUUAAGCACUCCGCCUGGGAG